UACGAAGGGUGCUAGCGUUUCUCGGAAUGACUGGGCGUAAAGGGAGCGUAGGCGGACUGCACAGUCAGGCGUGAAAUUCCUGGGCUUAACCUGGGGGCUGCGUCUGAGACGUGUGCUCUAGAGUGAGGAAGAGGGUCGUGGAAUUUCCAGUGUAGAGGUGAAAUUCGUAGAUAUUGGAAAGAACACCGGUGGCGAAGGCGGCGACCUGGUCCUUGACUGCAGCUGAGGCGCGAAAGCGUGGGGAGCAAACAGG
RNAcentral lists this ribosomal RNA (253 nucleotides) under uncultured bacterium. Its description in RNAcentral is "partial 16S ribosomal RNA". It matches the Rfam family "Bacterial small subunit ribosomal RNA", at positions 524 to 776 of the family's 1533-position model. The record is from RNAcentral.